Molecule: transfer RNA, 87 nt
Filed under: Clostridia bacterium
Lineage: Bacteria; Bacillati; Bacillota; Clostridia
Description: tRNA-Ser
Rfam family: tRNA
About the family: Transfer RNA (tRNA) molecules are approximately 80 nucleotides in length. Their secondary structure includes four short double-helical elements and three loops (D, anti-codon, and T loops).
Source: RNAcentral
GGAGAGAUGUCCGAGUGGUUUAAGGAGCUAGUCUUGAAAACUAGUGACUCGAAAGAGCCCAGAGUUCGAAUCUCUGUCUCUCCGCCA